Molecule: ribosomal RNA, 520 nt
Filed under: uncultured Glomus
Lineage: Eukaryota; Fungi; Glomeromycota; Glomeromycetes; Glomerales; Glomeraceae
Description: SSU rRNA
Rfam family: Eukaryotic small subunit ribosomal RNA
Source: RNAcentral
AGCAGCCGCGGUAAUUCCAGCUCCAAUAGCGUAUAUUAAAGUUGUUGCAGUUAAAAAGCUCGUAGUUGAAUUUCGGGAUCAGUAUGUUGGUCGUGCUUCGGUACGUACUGUCAUUACUGGUUUCUACCUUCUGAAGAACCUUGAUGUCAUUAAUUUGGUGUCUUGGGGAAUCAGGACUGUUACUUUGAAAAAAUUAGAGUGUUUAAAGCAAGCAUACGCUUGAAUACAUUAGCAUGGAAUAAUGAAAUAGGACGUUUGAUUCUAUUUUGUUGGUUUCUAGGAUCGACGUAAUGAUUAAUAGGGAUAGUUGGGGGCAUUAGUAUUCAAUUGUCAGAGGUGAAAUUCUUGGAUUUAUUGAAGACUAACUACUGCGAAAGCAUUUGCCAAGGAUGUUUUCAUUAAUCAAGAACGAAAGUUAGGGGAUCGAAGACGAUCAGAUACCGUCGUAGUCUUAACCAUAAACUAUGCCGACUAGGGAUCGGAUGAUGUUAUUUUAAUGGCUCAUUCGGCGCCUUACGGG